GUGGGGAAUCUUGCGCAAUGGGCGAAAGCCUGACGCAGCCAUGCCGCGUGAAUGAUGAAGGUCUUAGGAUUGUAAAAUUCUUUCACCGGGGACGAUAAUGACGGUACCCGGAGAAGAAGCCCCGGCUAACUUCGUGCCAGCAGCCGCGGUAAUACGAAGGGGGCUAGCGUUGCUCGGAAUUACUGGGCGUAAAGGGCGCGUAGGCGGACAGUUUAGUCAGAGGUGAAAGCCCAGGGCUCAACCUUGGAAUUGCAGUGGUUACUGGCUGUCUUGAGUACGGGAGAGGUGAGUGGAACUCCGAGUGUAGAGGUGAAAUUCGUCGAUAUUCGGAAGAACACCAGUGGCGAAGGCGACUCACUGGCCCGUUACUGACGCUGAGGCGCGAAAGCGUGGGGAGCAAACAGGAUUAGAUACCCGAGUAGUCC
This 425-nucleotide ribosomal RNA is filed under the name uncultured bacterium. RNAcentral describes it as "partial 16S ribosomal RNA". It matches the Rfam family "Bacterial small subunit ribosomal RNA", at positions 354 to 796 of the family's 1533-position model. The record is from RNAcentral.